CCUACGGGAGGCAGCAGUGAGGAAUAUUGGUCAAUGGGCGUAAGCCUGAACCAGCCAAGUCGCGUGAGGGAUGAAGGUUCUAUGGAUCGUAAACCUCUUUUAUAAGGGAAUAAAGUGUGGGACGUGUCCUGUUUUGUAUGUACCUUAUGAAUAAGGAUCGGCUAACUCCGUGCCAGCAGCCGCGGUAAUACGGAGGAUCCGAGCGUUAUCCGGAUUUAUUGGGUUUAAAGGGUGCGUAGGCGGCCUUUUAAGUAAGCGGUGAAAGUCUGUGGCUCAACCAUAGAAUUGCCGUUGAAACUGGGAGGCUUGAGUAUGUUUGAGGCAGGGGGAAUGCGUGGUGUAGCGGUGAAAUGCUUAGAUAUCACGCAGAACCCCGAUUGCGAAGGCAGCCUGCCAAGCCAUGACUGACGCUGAUGCACGAAAGCGUGGGGAUCAAACAGGAUUAGAUACCCCGGUAGUC
RNAcentral lists this ribosomal RNA (460 nucleotides) under uncultured bacterium. RNAcentral's name for it is "partial 16S ribosomal RNA". It matches the Rfam family "Bacterial small subunit ribosomal RNA", at positions 338 to 795 of the family's 1533-position model. The record is from RNAcentral.